Molecule: ribosomal RNA, 409 nt
Filed under: uncultured Nitrososphaerota archaeon
Lineage: Archaea; Thermoproteati; Nitrososphaerota
Description: bacterial SSU rRNA
Rfam family: Archaeal small subunit ribosomal RNA
Source: RNAcentral
CUGGUGUCAGCCGCCGCGGUAAUACCAGCACCCCGAGUGGUCGGGACGAUUAUUGGGCCUAAAGCAUCCGUAGCCGGCCCUGCAAGUCUUCCGUUAAAUCCAUCCGCUCAACGGAUGGGCCGCGGGAGAUACUACAGGGCUAGGGGGCGGGAGAGGCAAGCGGUACUCAGUGGGUAGGGGUAAAAUCCUCUGAUCCACUGAAGACCACCAGUGGCGAAGGCGGCUUGCCAGAACGCGCUCGACGGUGAGGAAUGAAAGCUGGGGGAGCAAACCGGAUUAGACACCCGGGUAGUCCCAGCUGUAAACGAUGCAGACUCGGUGAUGGGCUGGCCUAGUGCUAGCCCAGUGCCGCAGGGAAGCCGUUAAGUCUGCCGCCUGGGGAGUACGGUCGCAAGACUGAAACUUAAAG